Molecule: ribosomal RNA, 350 nt
Filed under: uncultured bacterium
Lineage: Bacteria
Description: bacterial SSU rRNA
Rfam family: Bacterial small subunit ribosomal RNA
Source: RNAcentral
GGGCCCGCACAAGCGGUGGAGCAUGUGGUUUAAUUCGAUGAUACGCGAGGAACCUUACCAGGACUUAAAUGUAAGUUGCAUGAUUCAGAAAUGAAUCUUUCUUCGGACUACUUACAAGGUGCUGCAUGGUUGUCGUCAGCUCGUGCCGUGAGGUGUCAGGUUAAGUCCUAUAACGAGCGCAACCCCUAUCGUUAGUUACCAGCAAGUAAUGUUGGGUACUCUAGCGAGACUGCCGGUGCAAACCGUGAGGAAGGUGGGGAUGACGUCAAGUCAGCAUGCCCCUUACACCCUGGGCUACACACGUGCUACAUUGGACGAGACAAUGAGAUGCAAACCUGCAAAGGCUAGCG